GGCCUCGUCGGCGACGGUGCGCACGCUGGCGGCGCCGAUGCCGUCGCGCCGGAUCACCUGCAGGACCGCGUCGGCGAUCUCCUCGCGGCGGGCCUC
This 96-nucleotide transfer RNA is filed under the name Rhodococcus (subgen. Prescottella) equi. RNAcentral's name for it is "Rhodococcus hoagii tRNA-Ile(gat)". Lineage: Bacteria; Bacillati; Actinomycetota; Actinomycetes; Mycobacteriales; Nocardiaceae. The record is from RNAcentral.